UUCGCCAGGGAACAACGAGCCCCAGCUUAAAACCCAAAGGACUUGGCGGUGCUUUAGACCCCCCUAGAGGAGCCUGUUCUAGAACCGAUACCCCCCGUUCAACCUCACCCUUUCUUGUUUUUCCCGCCUAUAUACCGCCGUCGUCAGCUUACCCUGUGAAGGACUUAUAGUAAGCAGAAUUGGCAAAGCCCAAAACGUCAGGUCGAGGUGUAGCGUACGAGAGGGGAAGAAAUGGGCUACAUUUACUGACCCAGUAAACACGGAUCCUGCACUGAAAUGUGCAUUUGAAGGAGGAUUUAGCAGUAAGGGGAGAAUAGAGUGCCCCCCUGAAAACGGCCCUGAAGCGCGCACACACCGCCCGUCACUCUCCCCGAUAGAUAACACAAAUAAAUAAUAAACCACAUAAAAAUAAGGGGAGGCAAGUCGUAACAUGGUAAGUGUACCGGAAGGUGCACUUGGAAAACC
This 465-nucleotide ribosomal RNA is filed under the name Amoya gracilis. RNAcentral's name for it is "partial 12S ribosomal RNA". It matches the Rfam family "Bacterial small subunit ribosomal RNA", at positions 868 to 1527 of the family's 1533-position model. Lineage: Eukaryota; Metazoa; Chordata; Actinopteri; Gobiiformes; Gobiidae. The record is from RNAcentral.